RNAcentral lists this ribosomal RNA (1435 nucleotides) under Vibrio parahaemolyticus. RNAcentral describes it as "bacterial SSU rRNA". It matches the Rfam family "Bacterial small subunit ribosomal RNA". Lineage: Bacteria; Pseudomonadati; Pseudomonadota; Gammaproteobacteria; Vibrionales; Vibrionaceae. The record is from RNAcentral. RNAcentral also lists the same sequence under 1 other name.
CGUCGAGCGGCGGACGGGUGAGUAAUGCCUAGGAAAUUGCCCUGAUGUGGGGGAUAACCAUUGGAAACGAUGGCUAAUACCGCAUGAUGCCUACGGGCCAAAGAGGGGGACCUUCGGGCCUCUCGCGUCAGGAUAUGCCUAGGUGGGAUUAGCUAGUUGGUGAGGUAAGGGCUCACCAAGGCGACGAUCCCUAGCUGGUCUGAGAGGAUGAUCAGCCACACUGGAACUGAGACACGGUCCAGACUCCUACGGGAGGCAGCAGUGGGGAAUAUUGCACAAUGGGCGCAAGCCUGAUGCAGCCAUGCCGCGUGUGUGAAGAAGGCCUUCGGGUUGUAAAGCACUUUCAGUCGUGAGGAAGGUAGUGUAGUUAAUAGCUGCAUUAUUUGACGUUAGCGACAGAAGAAGCACCGGCUAACUCCGUGCCAGCAGCCGCGGUAAUACGGAGGGUGCGAGCGUUAAUCGGAAUUACUGGGCGUAAAGCGCAUGCAGGUGGUUUGUUAAGUCAGAUGUGAAAGCCCGGGGCUCAACCUCGGAAUUGCAUUUGAAACUGGCAGACUAGAGUACUGUAGAGGGGGGUAGAAUUUCAGGUGUAGCGGUGAAAUGCGUAGAGAUCUGAAGGAAUACCGGUGGCGAAGGCGGCCCCCUGGACAGAUACUGACACUCAGAUGCGAAAGCGUGGGGAGCAAACAGGAUUAGAUACCCUGGUAGUCCACGCCGUAAACGAUGUCUACUUGGAGGUUGUGGCCUUGAGCCGUGGCUUUCGGAGCUAACGCGUUAAGUAGACCGCCUGGGGAGUACGGUCGCAAGAUUAAAACUCAAAUGAAUUGACGGGGGCCCGCACAAGCGGUGGAGCAUGUGGUUUAAUUCGAUGCAACGCGAAGAACCUUACCUACUCUUGACAUCCAGAGAACUUUCCAGAGAUGGAUUGGUGCCUUCGGGAACUCUGAGACAGGUGCUGCAUGGCUGUCGUCAGCUCGUGUUGUGAAAUGUUGGGUUAAGUCCCGCAACGAGCGCAACCCUUAUCCUUGUUUGCCAGCGAGUAAUGUCGGGAACUCCAGGGAGACUGCCGGUGAUAAACCGGAGGAAGGUGGGGACGACGUCAAGUCAUCAUGGCCCUUACGAGUAGGGCUACACACGUGCUACAAUGGCGCAUACAGAGGGCAGCCAACUUGCGAAAGUGAGCGAAUCCCAAAAAGUGCGUCGUAGUCCGGAUUGGAGUCUGCAACUCGACUCCAUGAAGUCGGAAUCGCUAGUAAUCGUGGAUCAGAAUGCCACGGUGAAUACGUUCCCGGGCCUUGUACACACCGCCCGUCACACCAUGGGAGUGGGCUGCAAAAGAAGUAGGUAGUUUAACCUUCGGGGGGACGCUUACCACUUUGUGGUUCAUGACUGGGGUGAAGUCGUAACAAGGUAGCGCUAGGGGAACCUGGCGCUG